CUGUGCUGGAUGGGGAGUUAGCGGUGCCCUGUAACCUGCAAUCCGCUCUAGCAGGGUUUAAAGCCGUUCCGAGGCCAUUCAAUUUUUCGGCGCGGAACCCAAUUGGCGAUCGAUGAUAGCCGGGCUCUAUGCAAUAGGGGCUUACGAACCCCGUCAGGGCCGGAAGGCAGCAGCGGUAAGAAAGUUACCCUAUGUGCCGUAGAACUACCUGGCAGGAGUUUGGCAAUUGAUGGAUGUACUGGAAAAUGGGGUCAACGUUCGGUCGCACAG
Molecule: signal recognition particle RNA, 270 nt
Filed under: bacterium
Lineage: Bacteria
Description: signal recognition particle sRNA large type
Rfam family: Bacterial large signal recognition particle RNA
About the family: The signal recognition particle (SRP) is a universally conserved ribonucleoprotein involved in the co-translational targeting of proteins to membranes.
Source: RNAcentral